GAUAUGACUCGUAUUUUAUCUGAUAUUUUGUUUUAGUUAUCAGAGCACAUGAUGUAUUCUUAUCUCAUAAAGCAUUCAGUGUUUUAUUCUAUUAUUUUUAACCUGGCAUUCUGUACGUAGUGGUAGAUUUUCUUCUUUUAUUUUUUAAGCUGCGAAAUAUGUCAUAGAUUAUUUGUUGUGUAUAACUAUCCACCCUCCAUAUCUCAUCGUAAAGGAUCUGCCUUAGAUUUCUGGAGUGAAAGUUCUUCCUUGCCUAACCUGACAAAAGCAUUUGGCUUUGUUCUAACUGUCCUUCAGCCACGUCAUAAUGAAAUAAAUCUGCAGCAUAUUAUUCCAGGACUACAGCCUGUUACAUAACAAGGCUUUGCAGCGUAGUUUCCACCAUCUAGUCCUAUCUGCAGUUACUAUAACAGGAAAAUCUUGCUCCACUAAUUCAAGCCAUCAAAUUGGUGAUCUUCCUCGCUUUCUGUCUCCAUGAAUUAAAUAGAAGUGAGUAUUUUUACUAGAUUUUUAUUAUCAUAUUGGAUCAAAUGCAUUUUAUUACUUUAACAAAAUCAGGUUACUUGAACUUUUGGUAUUAUUGAACAAGGAUUUAUAACUAUUAUUUUCAUGGACGCUAGAAGAUCGAUAAAUUAUAAAUUAUAUAUGUAAUUUGGUAUUGACUCCCAUGACUGAUUAGUGCGCUUUAUUCUUAUUAGG
This is a non-coding RNA of Parasteatoda tepidariorum (common house spider), 699 nucleotides long. The record is from RefSeq and is a predicted model, not a curated record. Lineage: Eukaryota; Metazoa; Arthropoda; Arachnida; Araneae; Theridiidae.